AAUCAUUGUUAUACGACCGCAAAUUUUGAAAAAAUUUUCGUCGUAUAUUGCUAUCACGUUGGCGUCUGCGUCGUCGUCGUCGUCGUCGUCGUCGUCGUCGUCGUCGUCGUCGUCGUCGUCCGUCGUCCGAAUACUUUUAGUUUUCGCACUCUAACUUUAGUAAAAGUGAAUAGAAAUCUAUGAAAUUUUAACACAAGGUUUAUGACCAUAAAAGGAAGGUUGGUAUUGAUUUUGGGAGUUUGGUCCCAACAUUUUAGGAAUAAGGGGCCAAAAAGGGCCCAAAUAAGCAUUUUCUUGGUUUUCGCACCAUAACUUUAGUUUAAGUUAAUAGAAAUCUAUGAAAUUUUGACACAAGGUUUAUGACCACAAAAGAAAGAUUGGGAUUGAUUUUGGGAGUUUUGGUUUCAAUAGUUUAGGAAUAAGGGGCCAAUAAAGGGCCCAAAUAAGCAUUUUUCUUGGUUUUUGCACAAUAACCUUAGGUUAAGUAAAUGGAAAUCUAUGAAAUUUAAACAAAAUGUUAAUGACCACAAAAGGAAGGUUGGUAUUUAUUUUGGGAGUUUAGGAC
This 565-nucleotide long non-coding RNA is filed under the name Mytilus galloprovincialis (Mediterranean mussel). Lineage: Eukaryota; Metazoa; Mollusca; Bivalvia; Mytilida; Mytilidae. The record is from RNAcentral.